CCGGAUUUAUUGGGUUUAAAGGGUGCGUAGGCGGAUUGAUAAGUCAGCGGUGAAACUCACGGGCUCAACCUGUGCCGUGCCGUUGAAACUGUUAAUCUUGAAUGCGGAUGCUGUGGGAGGAAUGUGUAGUGUAGCGGUGAAAUGCAUAGAUAUUACACAGAACACCGAUUGCGAAGGCAUCUCACAAAGCCGUGAUUGACGCUGAGGCACGAAAGUGUGGGGAUCAAACAGGAUUAGAUACCCUGGUAGUCCACUACUGUAAACGAUGAUAACUCGCUGCCGGCGAUAUAAAGUCGGUGGCCCAGCGAAAGCGAUAAGUUAUCCACCUGGGGAGUACGACCGCAAGGUUGAAACUCAAAGGAAUUGACGGGGGCCCGCACAAGCGGAGGAACAUGUGGUUUAAUUCGAUGAUACGCGAGGAACCUUACC
This 429-nucleotide ribosomal RNA is filed under the name uncultured Bacteroidota bacterium. RNAcentral's name for it is "bacterial SSU rRNA". It matches the Rfam family "Bacterial small subunit ribosomal RNA", at positions 545 to 975 of the family's 1533-position model. Lineage: Bacteria; Pseudomonadati; Bacteroidota. The record is from RNAcentral.